AAAGGAAUAGACGGGACCCCGCACAAGCGGUGGAUCAUGUUGUUUAAUUCGAAGAUACGCGAAAAACCUUACCAGGUCUUGACAUCCCCUGCAACGGUAUAGAGAUAUACUUGAGGUUAACAGGGAGACAGGUGGUGCAUGGUUGUCGUCAGCUCGUGUCGUGAGAUGUUGGGUUAAGUCCCGCAACGAGCGCAACCCUUGUUGCUAGUUACCAUCAUUAAGUUGGGUACUUUAGCGAGACUGCCAGUGACAAACUGGAGGAAGGUGGGGAUGACGUCAAAUCAUCAUGCCCCUUAUGACCUGGGCUACAAACGUGAUACAAUGGCUGGGAACAAAGAGCGGCGAGAGGGUGACCUUAAGCGAAACUCAAAAAAACAGUCUCAGUUCGGAUUGAAGUCUGCAACUCGACUUCAUGAAGCAGGAAUCGCUAGUAAUCGUGAAUCAGAACGUCACGGUGAAUACGUUCUCGGGGUUUGUACACACCGCCCGU
RNAcentral lists this ribosomal RNA (490 nucleotides) under uncultured bacterium. RNAcentral's name for it is "bacterial SSU rRNA". It matches the Rfam family "Bacterial small subunit ribosomal RNA", at positions 903 to 1397 of the family's 1533-position model. The record is from RNAcentral.